GAGGCCCAGAGGGAAGGCUUGA
Molecule: microRNA, 22 nt
Filed under: Monodelphis domestica (gray short-tailed opossum)
Lineage: Eukaryota; Metazoa; Chordata; Mammalia; Didelphimorphia; Didelphidae
Description: mdo-miR-12346-3p
Source: miRBase by way of RNAcentral